Eubacterium sp. CAG:156 is the source of this 89-nucleotide small RNA. It matches the Rfam family "GA-cis RNA". The record is from Rfam. Lineage: Bacteria; Bacillati; Bacillota; Clostridia; Eubacteriales; Eubacteriaceae.
AAGAGGAGGAAACAAAAUGAACGAAGUUCAUUUUCUAUAAAUGUUUCCGACGAAUAGCCGCCGACCGAAGGGAGGGGGCAAUACAUAUU